AGGAAGAGGAAGGAAGCAAACAGAGGGAAGAAUGGCCAGAAAGAGCAACAACAGGCGUGUGUCCCUGGGUGAAGAGGGUGAGAAUCACAGUGCGGUUCUCCUCUGGCACGGAGGACGGAGCAGCCUGCCACAUGGCUAGGCCGCCGCCGCCGCCGGCGGCCCUUCCUUGCCAAAGGAGAAUUGCCCUGCUAUUCAUAGCCCUCUAGUAGAUGUUCAAAGGCGUUGCUUCAAUCUAGUUGGAAGCUUUGGCACUAGCUUUUUCUUCCUUCCUUCCUUUUUUGGAGUCCUUACCAUUAACAUUAUUGACUUGAUAUAAAAGGGAGAGAGAUCCGUAGGAGCUGCUGACUGAAAUCUGCCUCGGUUUGGAUUUCUUUUCAAAGAACGGGAUUUAAAUUUUUAGCUACUUCAAAUCAAAAUGCUGAGACUUCCUCGCAAAAAAAAAAUCAAAAUGCUGAGACCGUACAAUACUUGUCUCCAUUGGCCCAUUGCUAAAUCAUAUUAUUUCGGGGUCUCAAUAUGAGCAUCCAUAAAAAAAUUUUAAAAAUAAGUACUCAGUGGAAGUAUCACCGCAACUAUCAAAACACUAUGAACUACGUAAGAGCAGGUACAACUAGGGGUGGUAAUGGGCCAUGACCCUAAUGGCCUCUUCACAGCCCAAUAAGGCCUUUAAAAUUUUUAGUUCAAAAAUACAUAUGUUUAGAACCCGGCUCUUUUAGGGUUCGAUCCUUAGAUUUUCUAGUACAAAAUGUUGGGCUCUUUACCACCGUACAACGGACAGUCGACCCGUCAACAUGCAUAUUUUUUUUUGCGAAAACCCCCUCGUGGCUGGCAAUUUUGAGGAGAGGGAGCAGCAUCGUCGGCUGUUCGUCGCCAGCUUGCGCGCGUGGUCUGAGACGAAUCGACAAGGAGCGCGAGCGCUGAACAAAGCGCUGCGGCUCGGCGACGGCAGCGAGGAUCCGGUUCGCGCGCGGGGUAUCGUUUGGCGCUAAAGGUGUGCGCCAUCUUCCCCUGAAAAAUCCUCGCUGUGCACCACUCCAUCCCCGUCCCUAUCCCGCGCUGCCCCGUCCUCGCCGCGCCGCCAUCGUCCGCUACUGUGUCGCUUCUCCCACGGGCUUCCAACGGAGGCAGUAGGCCGCAAUGUGCACGCGCUUUCGGCUCCCCCUCUCCCCAGCUCCGGCCAGGGCGGAUCUGGCUGCGGCCGACCUGCACAGCGUGCCCCCGCCGCCGGAGACCCUCCCCCUCCCACAGCUCCGGCCAGGGCGGAUCUGGCCGCCGCUAACCCGCACAGCACGCCCCCCGCCGCCGGAGACUGUCGCCCCCAUCACGAGCGCGAAGUGGACGAGCGUCCUGCGCCCAGGCCUCAACGGCUCCCCAGCUCCGGCCAUGGUGUGGGUCUGGCCGCCGCCGGAAACGGCCGCCUUCACGAGCGCCCAGGCUUCAAUGGCUUCCCAGGGAUAAAAACCCAAUACCUCGUCGUGGCUUCACAAACUUUAUGCAGCCUCAUUUGUCUCAAAAUUAUCAUUUAGUCAGGGGACCUUCUCAUUUUGCACCAUUCAAUCCACCGCAGUCUAUGGAAGAUACACCAUCGGAAGAAAGACAUAUCCACUCCUCCUGCAUCAAUGUUUGAAGAAGAAAUUAUUUCCUGAAAAUUGAGAUCAAUUAUCUAUUUGAUGCCUCGUGAACUGAAGUGUUGUUUUGGCUGCUUGGUGAUGAAUAUGUCGCCUAGUGAUGAUUCUGGUCUUGGCGAUGGUGAUGAGCAUGUCUGCCUAAUGAUGAUCAUGUGCUGCUUGGUGCAGAAUUGCUAGUAACUUGUUGAUUAUGUAAGGCACGUUAUGUAAGUCUUUUUUUAUGAUCCUUUAAAAGGGAAGGAUGUGCCUUCUGAACUAUGAAAGAACCAGCCUUUUUGAAUGGUUUAUCUUUGAAAUAUAAAACUACUUCCCAUCUGCAAAUUAUUUGAA
Molecule: long non-coding RNA, 1958 nt
Organism: Panicum virgatum (switchgrass)
Lineage: Eukaryota; Viridiplantae; Streptophyta; Magnoliopsida; Poales; Poaceae
Exons: 3
Source: RefSeq, a predicted model, not a curated record